CCUGGUAUGUGAAAUCGAGUCGACGGUCCAACUGGUGGGUAGAACAGAACGGUCGGGCCUUCACUAGCCUAGACCAAACCAACAGAAAUCGAACUAACUCAGGUUUGGAAAAAAAAACUUAAAACUCUAGUUUUUCUCUAAAUUUAUUUUCUGUUGCGUUUUCUAAACCCAAUUUUUCAACACAAUCUCCAAGUACUAUCGGUACAAUGCACUGAAAACAAUAAUGCGAACUUAAACUACAGUCGAUACUCCACGAAACUCCUUAGUCAUCCACAAUAUCCCACCCCAUGCACAUGCAUUAUGGCAUACAUUUAAGGAAAAAAAUUAUGCUCCCACAAUGGCUUCAAUACAUUGACAUGCUACACAUGCUUACACAUUUAUACCCAAUUCAGUCCAAUGGCAUAUUUAUCAUACGUUCUAUUUUACAAUCAAUUCAAUAACAUUUAUCGCGCCUUGGUAUCAUAAUCAUUUCAAUAGCAACUAUCAUACUUCAAUAAAAAAUUUAUAGUGCAUGUAUAGCAAGCUUCAAAUAAGCUCAUACCAUGACGACACAGUCAAACAUACCGUACAAACAUUUCAUUAUUAUAUCAUAAACACACAUGUUAUACCAACAACCAUUAAUAUUCAUGUCAACUAUUUUAAAGCAUAAAAAUACCAAACAUACAAUUAAUCAGCCAACCAUGCCAAUUUUGCGUUCAUGCUUUUAGUUAGGGCUCAAAAUGUACCUAGUUCGGCCACCUUAAAAUCAUUUAUUUAGCUACUUAAAUAAGCCCGGCCAGGUAGCUUAAUUAUGAAUUUAAAUAACUAAUCAUUUAUUUAGUUAGGGUUCUUUAGCAGAUUGCAUUGUCUCCUUGAAACAAUCUUACAAACUUUAAACCAAAAAUUUGGGAUUUACAACUCUCCCC
Molecule: long non-coding RNA, 905 nt
Filed under: Gossypium barbadense (sea-island cotton)
Lineage: Eukaryota; Viridiplantae; Streptophyta; Magnoliopsida; Malvales; Malvaceae
Description: long non-coding RNA (GBAR_LNC021720)
Source: RNAcentral